ACUUACCAGGUCAAGACAUGGGCGUGAUUGACAGGCUAAUGACUUUUCUCGAUUCCAUGGAUGGUGGUGCAUGGUCGCACUUAGUUGGUGCAGUGAUUUGUCAGGUUUAUUCCGGUAACGAACGAGACCUCGGCCUUGUAAAUAGCUAUGCUGCUUACAGGGACAUUGGCGGCUACGCCAAGGAAGCUCGAGGCAAUUGCAGAUCUGGAAUGCCCUUAGAUGUCCUGGGUCGCACGCGUGCUACAAUGACGCCACGAACGAGCUUGCGUGAUGAAAGUUACGCAUAAUCAGCAGUCGGCGUCUUAAGGGAUAGUCUCUUGUAACUGUGGGACUCCAACUAGGAAUGUCUCGUAAGCACAAGUCAACAUCUUGUGUUGAUUACGUCCCUGCUCUUUGUACACACCGCCCGUCGCUCCUACCGAUCGAGUGUUUACGGUGAAUUUGAUGGACGUAAGGAAGUCAAAUAAACCUGAGCACUAGAGAAGAGAAGUCUACAUUUU
This 500-nucleotide ribosomal RNA is filed under the name uncultured Myrionecta. Its description in RNAcentral is "bacterial SSU rRNA". It matches the Rfam family "Eukaryotic small subunit ribosomal RNA", at positions 1213 to 1800 of the family's 1831-position model. Lineage: Eukaryota; Ciliophora; Litostomatea; Cyclotrichida; Mesodiniidae. The record is from RNAcentral.